GGAAGGGAAGCGGAGCAGAGAGAGCGAGGUGCGCAUGCAGGAUUGUGAUGGGAUGUGUUGGGGGAGAUAGGUGGGCAUUGAAAAGGGGCGGAGAUGAAGGAGCCAUUCAAUUAUGGAAGCGUACUCAGGAAGCGGGAGUCCACGCCUUCAGUUAUGUAGGCUAGAUAUCACUGACGUGUGGGCCUUGUAGCAAUUGGGCCCACUCCGCAGUGACCCCUUGUAUUAACAUUUUAUCAUUUGCUUCACUAUUUACUUACUCUACAAUGAACGGACCUUUUUCAAAUGUGUCCAACGUACCAGGGGCUUAUGAAUAUGCAAGUUGGAAUCUUUUAUGGUCGAAUGUGUAUCAUAUAGGUGUAUCAUAUAUAUGGCAUAUCAUAUAGGUGUAUCAUGUUAAAUGUCACACCUGCUUUGCCUUGAG
Molecule: long non-coding RNA, 421 nt
Filed under: Setaria viridis
Lineage: Eukaryota; Viridiplantae; Streptophyta; Magnoliopsida; Poales; Poaceae
Description: long non-coding RNA (SVIR_LNC005600)
Source: RNAcentral